Coffea arabica (coffee) is the source of this 714-nucleotide long non-coding RNA. RefSeq lists it as uncharacterized. The record is from RefSeq and is a predicted model, not a curated record. NCBI's taxonomy places the organism in Eukaryota, Viridiplantae, Streptophyta, Magnoliopsida, Gentianales, Rubiaceae.
GUCAGGUUUCGGCUGGACGGCUUGCUUGAGGAAGAGGAGUGGCCGGAGAACGAAGAGGGAGAAAUGCUUCAGCAAUUAGCUCUGUCUAUAAAAAACAGAAAAGGAAAAAAAAUUAAAAAAGAAGACGAUGGUGGCAAUUUGGGUUCUUAUACAAGGGUUUGUUUUCCAAAAGGCUUUGGAAGAACUGGAUGUUUGGAUGCUAGAGUCAUCUUGCUAUCAAUGAUCCAUUUAUCACCACUGAUUACAUGUUUAUAGAUGAAAAUGGACGAAGGCAACAUGUGUGGCAGACAUCAUGGGCUAUUAGCAUGCAAAUUGUUGGAGGUACUAUCAUGAUUCAUGGUGAUGGCACUGGCUUAAUGCUUCCACCUAAGCUGGCACCUGUACAGAAAACAGGUGACAGAACUAUAGUUCUUAAUGCUACAUCAUCAGUGAAAGAAAACUCUGCAAGUAGCUGGAAUAAAGGUCAAGGUUGAUGACUCUGAUCAGAGAACACCUGGAUGGAAAUAUAACUUUUGGGAGAUGAAGGUUUGCCCUGCUUCUGUAGAUGUUCUGUAUCUUGCCCAAUAUCUAGCUUGCCAUUGGACUUCUCCCACCAAAGGAUGAGUGACAAUAAGAGAAAUUUAGGGAGAGGAAAAUUCCAAAUGCAUGGCCACAAACAUUGCAAAUGAUUUUUUUCCUGGGAAUAUUAAUGCAUGCGGGACUACAUCUAAACUA